AUGGGACGACGCGCGUGGCCAACGUCAACUUCGGCUGCUCCACGAACUUCGUCGGCGCGAUCGUCGGGGACGGCCUCGUCGGCCUCGGCGGCGGCGACCUCUCCCUCGUCAGUCAGCUCGGCGCAGACACCUCGCUCGGCCGGAGGUUCUCGUACUGCCUCGUGCCCUACUCCGUCAAGGCCUCCUCCGCGCUCAACUUCGGCCCCCGGGCCGCCGUCACGGAUCCGGGAGCGGCGACGACACCGCUGA
RNAcentral lists this ribosomal RNA (249 nucleotides) under Triticum aestivum (bread wheat). Its description in RNAcentral is "partial small subunit ribosomal RNA". The record is from RNAcentral. Lineage: Eukaryota; Viridiplantae; Streptophyta; Magnoliopsida; Poales; Poaceae.